AUGUUGAUCCACCAAUCCUUAAUGGAGCGAUGUCCAAUCCAUGAAGAAGUGUCGUUGUUAUCAAGUUUGAGUCAUGCCUUGAUCAUACCCGAAAGCCUCGCGGUGUACCGACAUUUGAAAAUUGAUGACCAACAGAUUCAAAGAUCUACUUACAAAGUGGACAAAGCCCGUAGUUUGUCCACCCCUUUUUCUCCAAUCUAUCUGUUGUCCAACGAUUUUGAAUUGCAAGGCAAGCAAAACAAAUUGACCUUUGGAGGGGUCCAAGCCUUCCAAACUGCGGAGCUCAUGGGCGAGCGAGUAGUCCCCAAGAAUAGGGCAUUGUACACAGAUGUGGCGGAGUAG
Molecule: ribosomal RNA, 342 nt
Filed under: Triticum aestivum (bread wheat)
Lineage: Eukaryota; Viridiplantae; Streptophyta; Magnoliopsida; Poales; Poaceae
Description: partial small subunit ribosomal RNA
Source: RNAcentral